GAUGAACGCUGGCGGCGUGCUUAACACAUGCAAGUCGAGCGGGCAAUUUAUCUAGCACUGAUUACUUCAAAUGGAAAUCAUAAGUGUAAUCAUGAAUUUCUACCUUUAAUAAAGAAAAAAGAAAUUCAUGUACGCAAAUAGUGAUAACACAUGAAAGAGGAGUGAUGAGUGCUGGAUAAAUUGCUAGCGGCGGACGGGUGCGUAACACGUGGGUAACCUGCCCCUAUCACUGGGAUAACACACUGAAAAGUGUGCUAAUACCAGAUAAUAUAAGCUUUUGGCAUCAUUAGCUUAUCAAAGAAUUUCGGAUAGGGAUGGGCCCGCGUCUGAUUAGCUAGUUGGUGAGGUAACGGCUCACCAAGGCAACGAUCAGUAGCCGACCUGAGAGGGUGAUCGGCCACACUGGAACUGAGACACGGUCCAGACUCCUACGGGAGGCAGCAG
This 444-nucleotide ribosomal RNA is filed under the name uncultured bacterium. Its description in RNAcentral is "bacterial SSU rRNA". It matches the Rfam family "Bacterial small subunit ribosomal RNA", at positions 28 to 354 of the family's 1533-position model. The record is from RNAcentral.